This 425-nucleotide ribosomal RNA is filed under the name uncultured bacterium. RNAcentral describes it as "bacterial SSU rRNA". It matches the Rfam family "Bacterial small subunit ribosomal RNA", at positions 32 to 447 of the family's 1533-position model. The record is from RNAcentral.
AAUCAACGCUGGCGGCGUGCCUCAGACAUGCAAGUCGAACGAUUAAAGCUCUCUUCGGAGAGUGUAUAGAGUGGCGCACGGGUGAGUAACACGUAAGUAAUCUACCUUUGAGUGGGGAAUAACCCGGGGAAACCCGAGCUAAUACCGCAUAAUGCAGCGGCACCGCAAGGUGACAGUUGUUAAAGGAGCAAUCCGCUUAAAGAGGAGCUUGCGGCAGAUUAGCUAGNGGUAAGGUAAUGGCUUACCAAGGCUUCGAUCUGUAUCCGGCCUGAGAGGGCGGUCGGACACACUGACACUGAAUAACGGGUCAGACUCCUACGGGAGGCAGCAGUCGGGAAUUUUGGGCAAUGGGCGAAAGCCUGACCCAGCAACGCCGCGUGAAGGGUGAAGUAUUUCGGUAUGUAAACUUCGAAAGAAUAGGGAAG